Molecule: ribosomal RNA, 500 nt
Filed under: uncultured bacterium
Lineage: Bacteria
Description: partial 16S ribosomal RNA
Rfam family: Bacterial small subunit ribosomal RNA
Source: RNAcentral
AUUGAACGCUGGCGGCAUGCCUUACACAUGCAAGUCGAACGGCAGCACGGACUUCGGUCUGGUGGCGAGUGGCGAACGGGUGAGUAAUAUAUCGGAACAUACCUUGUAGUGGGGGAUAACUAUCCGAAAGGAUAGCUAAUACCGCAUACGCUCUAAGGAGGAAAGUGGGGGAUCGCAAGACCUCAUGCUAUAAGAGUGGCCGAUAUCAGAUUAGCUAGUUGGUGAGGUAAAGGCUCACCAAGGCGACGAUCAGUAGCUGGUCUGAGAGGACGACCAUCCACAAUGGAAAUGAGACACGGUCCAGACUCCUACGGGAGGCAGCAGUGGGGAAUUUUGGACAAGAGGGGCAACCCCGAUCCAGCGAUGCCGCGAGAGUGAAGAAGGCCUUCGGGUUGUAAAGCUCUUUUGUCAGGGAAGAAACGGUUGUGGCUAAUAUCCAUGGCUAAUGACGGUACCUGAAGAAUAAGCACCGGCUAACUACGUGCCAGCAGCCGCCGUAA